Molecule: long non-coding RNA, 3935 nt
Organism: Brassica napus (rape)
Lineage: Eukaryota; Viridiplantae; Streptophyta; Magnoliopsida; Brassicales; Brassicaceae
Exons: 2
Source: RefSeq, a predicted model, not a curated record
CUUAGUCCUUUCUUUAACAUUCUUUAUUUAUUGUCUUUAACAUUCUUGGGUAACCAAAGUCAUCACCGUGUUACUGUAACAUGAAGUAAUAAUAUGAAACCAAAUGAGCUUAAAAAAGGUUACAAGAACGGGUAACUAGUCAUCGACUUGAAUAGUGAAUCACUCUAAAACGAGCUCAAAGAGGUUACUAAUCAUCGACUUGAAUAGGAUUAAUAUGAAAAAAAUCACUAAGAUGAAUAGUGAAUCACUCAUAAACACAUCAGAAAUUUAUAACCAUCUCUUCUCUCUUACUACAUUUUGUACAUAGCAUUCACCAUCUAUCCACAGAAAGGCCCCCACAAGCAUUUAUCUUAUUUGUCCACUCUGUAAAGCAUUUAUCUUAUUUGUCCACUCUGUAAAAACAACACUCGGUUUUCGACAACAACAACAACAGAGACUUAGAGAGUUUUGUCGACAAAAACGAAACAAAAAAGAUUCAAGAUUCCGCGUAUGCAUUUGUCAAGACGCCAGUUUGUUGGAGGAGCUAUUUCAUCUUGCGUGAGAUCUCAAUGUAAUUCAAAAGCUUCUAGAGCCUUCCCACUGUCAAUAGCUUCCUUUGCUCUCUCCAUUGCUACAGUAACAUCUUCUGCUCCUUCGCACCCCAAUAAAUGAUCUACAAUCCCAGCAUUUAGGACGAUUAUAUCAUAAGCCGCUCCUUUUUCACCACGCAGCGCUGCCAAAUCCGGCUCUAUGUGCUUCGACACCUUCUCAUUCAAUAAAGGUAUAUCAAGUUCUUUCUCUUUCUCUUUUGUGGGUAACCAUUGUCCCCAACAGUGUGAAACAUAAGAGGUCUUAUCGAACGAUCAGUUCAGUUUCUGUUGGCUGAAACCCAUAGUUUCUUGCAUUCACCUCCAGGUUGAAACUCGGAUUACCUAAAACUUGACGCUAUUACUUACAUGGUACUGCGAUUACACCGAAAAAUAUAUAAAAUUUACGAAUCUUAAUGAGAGAAAGAAAAACAAUCACAGAGUUAGUAUCCUUGAAAAUAAAUAACAUUAUAAUAUGAAAUUAUUGAUGACUGUAAUGCAUAGGAUUCUAUUCAGCUCGAAACCGACUAUUCAAUUUACUUGGACAUUACCAACCAUGAUGUAGACUUCUAUUUAGACUUCAAGUAGUUGUAGUUAUGCCGUGUGGGUCAACUUUCCUAGUUUGAAUAUUUUUACUCAGAAAAUUCGAGGUUUAAAGAAAAGUUGAAUCGGAGUUACAUUUAAAAAAAAAAAUCUAUUUGACCAAAUAAUUGUUGAUUUUGGAUGUAAAUCCAAAGUUGAAGCAUGUGGCAGACUGAAUAGUCUUAAGUUGAACAUGUUCCUGUAAGCAAUCAAAUUUCUAAAAAAAUGUGACAAAUAGUUAUACAACAUACAAUCAAAUUUUCCAUUCACUUAAUACGCCUUAAGAUUACAAGUUCAAGUCGUUAGAAUAUAAAAUUAACAUGUUCUUGUCCAGGCACCGAUAAGAUUACGGAUCUAAAGACUCAUAACGUAGAAGGAGUUCACAGAAACUGUAUGAAUUUCAAUUGCUUCAUCAUCUUUUAUUUUACUAAAAAUAUACAAAAAAAAAUAAAGAUAAAAUCGUAACUAAAAAAUUGGAUAAAUUCCAUGCAAGGCAUUAACGAACGUAUUAAAAAGCUAAAUAUGUAUUAGUGAGGAUCUUAUGCGACUUAUGUAUGUGUUCUUGCGAAGAAAGAGUUCAAAUCUUGAACGUUGACGGAGGUAAGCCUCCGUGGGGUCGUCUUUUGUUGGAUUCCGCCGCGCACAGGAGCCGGAGGACACUGAAGCAGCGGUGGAAUUUUAAAUUGUGCCCCCUUUGGAGUGGUGAAUCCAUCCUCUUCUUCUCCUUCUUUCUCUAGCUUCUUAUUGAUCGGAGUCUUCACUUUAAGUGUCUUUCCCGAAGAAUCCAUUGGCGAAGAAAACUGAAUAAACAAAAACAACAAGGAAAAUAAACCCUUUGACCUAAACUGGUUUGUUAAUUACUUUAAACGAAAAAAUAAAUUCACUCUUCAAGGGAAAAUGAUAACUGAGUUUCUUGAGUUUUCUAAGAAAAAGGAGGAACAAUAGGAAGAUUAGCUCACACCAAAAAAAAAUAUAUAUAUAAGAAGAUUAGGUUUUAGGGCUUUUUAAGUUUAUCUACUUGAAGAAGCUUUGAAGAGAAAAUACCAACAAGAAAAAAGAGAGGCAAAGAGUCGUGGAGAAUCUGAUAUCAUUUUUAGUUUAAUAUUAUAUAUAAAGGUAGAAUAUUUUCCAUCUAGAAACUUUAUUUUAUCAACGAUUAAAUAACUCUUCGUUAAUCCUCAUAAUGUGAAUGAAAAAUAAACAUGAAUCACUAUCACGUCCAUGUUCAUAACAUUUUUAAUAUGAAAAAAAAUAAGAAAAAAAAUAUUGAGAAGCUUCUCCACUUAAUAUCUAGAUAAUUACUCAAUUCACCAUAAAGAAGAAUAUACUUCUUCCGUUUCAUAUAUCAAAUAUAUAUACUUUCGGCUAAGUUUUUUUUAAUUGAAAUUAAUGUCGUCAUUUUAUGGAUUCAAUGAAAAAGUUUAUGUAAACUUGAGAUUAUUUUGUGUGGGUUAUCCAAUAAAUACAAAGUAUUUUAAAGAGAAUAAGAAGGGGUUUUUACAGAGUAAGGAACGGUAGUUAUAAUAGUAUUUUAAGAGUGAAUAUCUUAUUAUAUAAAGUUGACUUGUGUGAUGCGCACAGCCCUCCAUGUCAGCAAGGAGGAAAGGGCGUUUUUCGACACGACAGCUUUCUCUAUAAAGUUCUAAACUUUCGUUGAUGAAAAAUUGUUCCAACGAAUGGGCCCAAAAAGACCAUAACAAGUCGAAUCUAAUAUUGCUGACCUUCUAUAACAUAAACAUAAUCCAUUUAUAGCCCAUGUCUCUUUCAAUGACUUCGGCUUCUUCAAUCUCAUCUUUUGCAUCGCAGAUGUUGUAACGCCUCUGUAACGUUCGUAAUCCUCAUUCAAACCUUUCAUUAAUUGUUUUCAUUUGCUCCCUACGGCCAGCUCCCCCACUACGUUCAAUUUAGUGACUCCUUCUCCGCAGCUCUUAAACUCCCUAAUUUUUGAGACUAUAAAUAAGUGAUGGAGACGUAGUCAAGGUUCACUGCUUCACCCUGUUCAUCAUAAUUCUCCUUACAGACAUAUCACCAUCGAAGAUCAAAACAACAAUCGGUAUCAACUAUAAGAAUAUGGAUCUAAAGGCAAAUCAUAAGAUUCUUUAUAAUAGAAACAAUUAUAUAUUCUAGGAGAGCUAGAGAUUUGAUAUACCUUUGUUGCAGGUUUCUUGGCCGUGUCUGAGAUCCAAUCUACAUGGCGGAUUAUGGAAUACACGGCGGUGAGGAGUUUAAGAGGCUCUGUGAAAAUUCAUAUUUUUCCUUCGCUUGAUCUUCCCCGUCGCCGGAUCUGAGAUUCUCUCACGUAACAGUGGUCAGUACUCCUUUAAGCAGUUGUCAAUACUCCUCAACCAUUUGGAAUACGCUCGCCUUGAAGCUUCGCUUAUCUCUGCCAUCAUCUUUUUGGACAGAUUCUCUGCAAUCCUUGCUUUGUUUGUCGAUAGACAAAGCACCAUAAGUUUCUCUGUUUACUGGCGUUGCAGUCGCCGAUCUAUUUUAUUUGGAGAGAACUCAAUCACCGUCUCCACCGCAGCACAUUCAGGAGCUCAGCUUCGAUCCUUGCUGAGAUUGAUCAAUUAGUUAAGAAAAGAAUCUCAUCCUUCAGAGAGACAAACAUAGAUUUCUCCAGCAGAGCCAUGCAAAUUUGGUUUUCAACAAACUGAUUCUCGAAUCAAAAUCGAAUCGUUUCUCUUGCCAUCUCCAUUACUCAAUCCUCUAUUUGGGCCUUCAUUGAACUAUCUUCAGCUUAAUGGGCCUCCAGAAAAUCAAUUAAGGCUCCACUAAUUGGGCAUC